This 428-nucleotide ribosomal RNA is filed under the name uncultured prokaryote. Its description in RNAcentral is "bacterial SSU rRNA". It matches the Rfam family "Bacterial small subunit ribosomal RNA", at positions 355 to 774 of the family's 1533-position model. The record is from RNAcentral.
UGGGGAAUAUUGCGCAAUGGGCGAAAGCCUGACGCAGCGACGCCUCGUGAGGGAUGAAGGUCUUCGGAUCGUAAACCUCUGUCAAGAGGGAAGAAACCCUUGGGUUCGAAUAGGGCCCUUGGCUGACGGUACCUCAAAAGGAAGCACCGGCUAACUCCGUGCCAGCAGCCGCGGUAAUACGGAGGGUGCAAGCGUUAAUCGGAAUCACUGGGCGUAAAGCGCUCGUAGGCGGUUUGGUCAGUCAGAUGUGAAAGCCCUCGGCUCAACCGGGGAACUGCAUUUGAUACUGCCAGACUUGAGUAUCGGAGAGGGUGGCGGAAUUCCGGGUGUAGGAGUGAAAUCCGUAGAUAUCCGGAGGAACACCAGUGGCGAAGGCGGCCACCUGGACGAUAACUGACGCUGAGGAGCGAAAGCGUGGGGAGCAAACA